GACGCGGGCUGGACCUCUCGGGGUUACAGCCUUGCUGAAUUAUUCACCCUUGUCUUUUGCGUACUUCUUGUUUCCUUGGUGGGUUCGCCCACCACUAGGACAAACAUAAACCUUUUGUAAUUGCAAUCAGCGUCAGUAACAAAUUAAUAAUUACAACUUUCAACAACGGAUCUCUUGGUUCUGGCAUCGAUGAAGAACGCAGCGAAAUGCGAUAAGUAGUGUGAAUUGCAGAAUUCAGUGAAUCAUCGAAUCUUUGAACGCACAUUGCGCCCUUUGGUAUUCCAAAGGGCAUGCCUGUUCGAGCGUCAUUUGUACCCUCAAGCUUUGCUUGGUGUUGGGCGUCUUGUCUCUAGCUUUGCUGGAGACUCGCCUUAAAGUAAUUGGCAGCCGGCCUACUGGUUUCGGAGCGCAGCACAAGUCGCACUCUCUAUCAGCAAAGGUCUAGCAUCCAUUAAGCCUUUUUUUCAACUUUUGACCUCGGAUCAGGUAGGGAUACCCGCUGAACUUAAGCAUA
RNAcentral lists this ribosomal RNA (514 nucleotides) under Alternaria tenuissima. RNAcentral's name for it is "eukaryotic LSU rRNA". The stretch from base 155 to 308 matches the Rfam family "5.8S ribosomal RNA". The record is from RNAcentral. Lineage: Eukaryota; Fungi; Ascomycota; Dothideomycetes; Pleosporales; Pleosporaceae.